UUUUUCUUUGUAUUUCAUCUAUUGUAAUUGAAAAAAAGGAAAUUACGAAAAAAAAAGUAAAAUUGAGAAUAAAAAAAGAGUACGAAGUAAAAAAAAUUCGAAAAAAAAAAGUGAAGUGUUGGAAUUUUUGUUUAUUCAUUCUUUGUAAUCCCGAUCAUUCCCUAACACUCUUCUUUCUUUCUUUCACGCCACACUUAGUUCAAAGCCUCCCUUGUUUCUUUUAGCCUACCCAUAACCUAACAUCAAUCCCUUGUGAACCAUUUUGAAGCC
RNAcentral lists this long non-coding RNA (270 nucleotides) under Gossypium raimondii (Peruvian cotton). RNAcentral describes it as "long non-coding RNA (GRAI_LNC000570)". The record is from RNAcentral. Lineage: Eukaryota; Viridiplantae; Streptophyta; Magnoliopsida; Malvales; Malvaceae.